UACAGGAUAUACAAUGAAAUACAUUUUGCCGCGGCAAAUAAACCGCUGAAUAACGAAAGCGAUGACUUUUGUGGCGAGUUUACGAUGUCCGCAGUAGCCCUUUUUAUUUUGGGUUGGGUUUGGAAUUCGAGAGUAGGGCUUAAUUUAUAUAAACGAAAUGGGACACAAACAACAUGGGCAUAUUGAUUUCGAAUGAAAGUUAAAUGUGAUUUCAAACAAUCAAAUUGUCUGAUGUACCGUACUAUGUGCCAUAGUAUUAGGUUUUAAAUUGGAAACUAUAGGAACAAAAAUCAAACUAAAUAUCCCUUUUAAUACUUCUGAUGUUAUGGUAUUCAAUCAAAUCCUUUUGGAUUGCAAUAUGUGUCGGCUAUAAUAUCUACUUAUCACCCGCAAAAUAAAACAUGAAGCAUAUUAA
Long non-coding RNA from Drosophila willistoni, 415 nucleotides. RefSeq lists it as uncharacterized. NCBI's taxonomy places the organism in Eukaryota, Metazoa, Arthropoda, Insecta, Diptera, Drosophilidae. The record is from RefSeq and is a predicted model, not a curated record. The transcript has 2 exons.